CUCCGCCGCGCUGCUGCUGCUGCUGCUGCUCCCCCUCCCCUCAGCCGCGAUGCUCCGAGCCGCCGCAGCAAGAGCAGCGGACUGGGGAGGGGUAGGGGGAGAACGCGCACCUGCUGCGCGGAUCCCUCCGCCGCGCGACGGCCGCGGCGGAGGGAUAUGUUGGUGCGGCUGGUCAAGAAUGCUGAUGCGCAGAGCCGGGGAGAUUGACGCCGCCGGCGGCAGCGGCUGCGCUGGGGGAUGCGGUGGCGGCGACUCAUGGCAGCUGCCUGCAAAGCACGGGAGUGGGGGCGCCCAUCCCCCCCGCGCGCUCGCCAGGGGGGGUCUGCCUGGCACGGCUCACACGACCCCUGAGCAGCCCGCCCAGCCUGCAGGGGCGUGGAGGAGAGUCACUGCGGCUGAUGGCUCGGAGCGCCCCCCUCCCCGGGCAGUGGUUUCCACUUUCCCCCUGCGCGGGGUGGUAGAUGGCGAGCCUGGCACCCGGGUUGCGAACGGGUGGCAAAGGAGGAGAGAAGAGCCUUUUUGUGGCACGGAUUGCGGUACUUGGGGGGUUGCUCUGAGGUCUCUCUCUGGGGGAGAGCUGAGCCUUGCCCGGGGGGCAGCAGGGAUCGGUGUGUCUUGCGUUAUCUUUGUUACCGGUCAGACCUUUCAGACUGGACAACAAACCUGCCUGGAAUCCCAAACAUGCUGCUUGGGAUUAUGGACCAGAUUCUUGUUUCAGCUGUUAACCUCGUGCGUAUGAGUAACCCAGUGGAUUUACAGCAGUGUAACAGCGCAUAAUUUAACCUCUAUAUUUAGUCAUUGAGGGAAAGUAGAUCAUUAUUAGUUAAACUGUGAAUGAAGUAAUUGCAAGCUCAAGACAGUUGCAGUGAUGAUCUCUGCCUAUUACGGAGUACACUGGUUUUAACAUAAAAUGUGGGGUUUGAAGUUCACCUAUCUCAACUUUUGCCUGUUAUCACAAAACCAAAGGAUGUGUGAGUGGAUUACAUGUAAGGAUGAUGAAAGCUAAAUUAUUACCUUUUUAUUUUGUUAUAUUUAUCUGAGGUUGCUUGUUUCUUAUCUUAGUCUUUUGGAAAACUCAACUCUUCAUCUAGGUGAGAUUUCAAAGAGUAUAUUUUAUGCCAUAAGAAACGUUGAGGAAACAUUUUAUUUGGAAACAUGCAUAUUAUAGAGUCGUGUACCCACUCCAGAGUUAAGGUUUCAACUGAGUUUGUAUUAUAAGCUCAAUUUUUGCUAUCACCCCCAAAAUAAAGGGACAUCCCCAAAUAAAGUAGUAGUCCCUUUACAAUUUAUAGGUUAGAUCUGGAGCAGAGGUACAAUUUUUUAAUCAAAUUUGAAGUGAAUUAGGCAAGAGGUUCCUGAAUUAAAGCUAUUUUAACUUGUCUCAGCUUAAAAAAAAAGUCUUGUCUGAUAUUCACCAAAGAUGCAUCUGCAUAGUGGUACCAGUGGUGUAAACUAGUGUACACCCCAUGCAGGUGUGCCCUCAUCUGGUGCCCAUGCUCUGUCUGCCCUAGAGUUUGCAGCAUUGGUAGCACUAGUGAAGCUGCAUUUUUACUGAAAAAUAGGUAAGAGGAAACGGGACCCCCCUCCCCAAAAAAAGGGCAGCUAAAAAUGUAGUUUACUAAACUAAUCUGUUUGAGGUCAAGUCACAGGACAAGAAAGAAGACAUCUCUAAUACUUUUUUGUGAGAUCUUACUUUGAGAGCGGGAGACAUAAAAGUAAGUUUAAUGGUUUCAUGUGUGACUUUUUGGGGAGAAAAGAUGCAUCCCUGCAGUGCUGCCCUUUAUAACCCCCCACAUGCCCACACCCACAUCUGCAAGCUCCUGUACCUCCUGUUGAUUUCCUAAGGAACUCACAUCUUGUGGAGAAAUGGGGAAGAGCAUGGAAGUGGAGGGAAGGUGUAACACUUGGGAAGGAAUGGGGGGAAGCAAGAAAGGGGGAAAAGAAGAAACUACUUAUGGACUAUAAACAGCAAGGAGUAUAAGACAAAGUUUAGAAUAGUAAAAAAAAAAAAAAAAACAAACCCAGAACUACAAGAGAUUGGACAGUUCAUUGGAAUUUGAAGUGAAUUUUGUUUGUUGCUGGGUGGUGGUUUUUUUACACUUAUUGCUGCAUUGUCAUCGCUUAAAGCACUUUCUAAAGGGUGCAUCCAAAAUGGAAGAAAGUUCAAAACUAAAAAGUCUCAUGCAUGAGAAUAAUAUACUAGAGGACCUGGUGGAAGGUUUGCAUAUUUCUUUGACCAAUGCAGUAGCCUUCUCAACAUAUGAUAUGACUGUGGAAUGCGGUAGGUUAUUGUCCUCCUCUCUGAUUUACUUCUACAAUAUAGUCUGUCUCAUAUUCAUCUUUUAAUAGUGUCCUUGGCAGUUUUUUCUCUUUCCUCUAAGAGUGGCAAUUACAAACAUGAACUGUGAUUUUGGUAUGCCUGUGUUCUCUCUAUGUAUUACCUUAACUCUUUCUUGUUAUUCUACACAUGCCAUGCUUUUUUUUUCCAGGUUGCUAAAUUAUGGGCAAAGGGUUGGUAGGAUGACUUCCUAGGAUCUGUGGAAUAUUAUUGAUACUUUUGGUAGAAAAGUGUGGAAGGCUGAGGACAACUUUAUCCUUGUGAAACAUGCAGCAUUGCUCUUCUAUGGAGAUGGUGCUCAGUUCUGCAGUUUUCCUAGAUGAGGUGAUGGAAACAGUGGGCAGCAGGCAGAGACAGAAACACAGCAACAGCUAAAGAGUGCCCAGCAAAGCAGACAGAAGCACAUAGUCAGCAAUCCACAGCCCCACCAAACAGACAGCAGAACCCAGGAGGGUGCCUGAGACACACAUCAUGGCUGAGCUGAAUCCUAAAGGACAUCUGAGCCCCAUCAAGCAGGAGUAACCAACUUUGCCAACAUAUUUGCCACUGAUUAGUGGAGUUAACUCAAGCAAAGGCAGAUUAAUCUCCUGUUGAUACAGUAAGAUUUAUGUGUUGACCGUAACCAUAUAUCAAAAUGGUGGGAUCCCCAUUUUGUUACACUAACAUCUGUUUUUAAUAUUUUCCCUUUGUGAUGUUAUAAAGGGCAAGUUCAGGUUCCUUCUGAGUUUCUGUUGGAGAAGCAGUUUCUUCACUGUGUUCCUGAAAAACUUCAGAAAUGUUGAGAUGGACUGAACAACUGUUUCAUCUGGUUUAGAUUUCUAAUUUUGAAGACUCGAGCUGUGGUGGCUGUGACGUCCAACAUGUCUCCUGUGGUAAAGCCACUAACAGACACUCCUCUCAUUUUGAUUUGGGAUAAGACUGCAUGGUAAAUCACUGUGUGGAGUUGCUAUGCUAACUCGUGGCAAAGGAAGUUUUGUUGGGUAAAGACUCCGUGGGUGUCGCCCUUUUGUUUGCUUUGGUCUUCUAUGGUGACUUUAGGCAAAUCACUCAAGCCCAAAGUUCCAAAAGUAUCUACUAAUUUUAAAUUUUUGGAUGCUCAACUGGAGACACAGGACCUGAUUUUUAAGAAUAUUAUGAAGCUAUUAAGCACAAAUGCAAUGCAUUGAGCAUCUCUCGAGCACUUGGAACAGAUCCUCUUCUGAGGUUCUCUUAUGGUCUCAUAUACCAAUUACCGUGGCUGGACUAUGCUUCAUCUCAUCUAGCAAAUGGACCAGAAGAUACUUACCUGACAUUUUCAAAGAGAGCCACAUAAUUCCCACUGACCACAGAAAGUUGAAAAUUUACUCUAAAUGUGGAGGAUACCUGAAUAUUGUAAAGCUUCAAUGACCAUGACACACAUGGAGUGUCUGACAGAAGGGACUAUGAGCUAGCCUGUCCCUGGAUUUAGUACAAGUGCCUAUAGGUUGGGGGGCACUAGUGAUGGGGGAGAACAUAAGGAGCAUUGUUCCCUCCUUGCUUCACACACCCUGCUGGUGAGCCAGGGACAAAUGCAGUCCCUGGCCUGUGGGAACCAGAGAGACAGCUCCCUCAGUGCAGCCAAUGAGCACAAAUUGUUCCUACAAGUACAACUUGCAUCUGCUUCGUCCUGGACAGUAGAGAUGAUCAUGUCUGCAUGUGAUUUGAGGAGCAAGAGGCACCAUCUGAAAGGACAGUGCAGAUUACACACUCCCCCUGCAUGCUGAGUAGCUGAAGACCGUAUUGUACCUCCUGAGCCUCGUUGCCACAUUCUGUGCGCUGUGGCUAGUGCCAUAAUCUAGCCCAGUGAAGAAGGCAUAGUAUUUAACAAAGAGAAGUCCUGCUGCACAACCCCACAUCCAGGGGUCCUGGAACAAUUUUUAUAAUGGGGGAGCUGAGAGCCGUGAACCAAACUGAAAACCCUGCAUAUAAGGGAAACCACUUUAAGCCAGGGGGUGUGACAUCUUAGGUGCUCUGUUAUACCACUGCUGCUAAGGGUCAUCUAACACUCUGUCAGGAGAGGGGACCAUUCUGAAAAGAGGAACUAAGGACAGGCACACUGCAAAAUAUAUUUGACCUGUCCUUAGCUUUGUAAACAUUUUGGCUAUAGGCAUGUCCACAACAUAUAUUUGGGAGCCAUCUAAUUUUGUUUUGUGAUCUUGGAACGACCAAUAAAAUAAAACAGAAGCUACUGUACGUAGAGUGCAAGAGGUGCUUUUU
Molecule: long non-coding RNA, 4573 nt
Organism: Caretta caretta (loggerhead turtle)
Lineage: Eukaryota; Metazoa; Chordata; Testudines; Cheloniidae
Source: RefSeq, a predicted model, not a curated record